RNAcentral lists this long non-coding RNA (697 nucleotides) under Nicotiana benthamiana. RNAcentral describes it as "long non-coding RNA (NBEN_LNC016040)". Lineage: Eukaryota; Viridiplantae; Streptophyta; Magnoliopsida; Solanales; Solanaceae. The record is from RNAcentral.
GCCGCAGCCUUGCCAGUGAUGAUUCAGACGGGUUAACACCUAGUGCUGUUUUCUCUCAAAUCAUGAAUCCAAAAGGACGCUAAGAUCUCACAUCUUUGUCGACAGGCCUUCAAUGGGGGAUGUGCUUUGGAACCUUGAAUUCGCUCUGCAACUUCAGGAGAGUGCAGAAGAAUGUGGCAAAGGUUUUGGAAAGAUGGACAUUGAAGAAGGCUUUGAUGUCACAUGCAAAGGAAAGAAGGAUUUAAAUGAAUCUGCAGGUUUUGAUGCGAGCAUGACUGAUUCAAGAAGCAGUGGCAUAUCCAUGAGCAUUGGUGGCCGCAGCCUUGCCAGUGACGACUCAGAUGGCUUAACACCUAGUGCUGUUUUCUCUCAAAUCAUGAAUCCAAAAGGACGCUAAAAAUCUCACAUCUUGAAAGCAAAUACAUAGUGCCACUGGUCAUCUAUAGCUCGUUAAGGCAAUUUGCUAUCGGCCUCUUUAACAGCGCAAGUCACUUUUUUCCUUUCUCGUACUGUCUUAUUCUUUUACUCACUAUUUAUUUUUAUGAUUCAUAUGUUAUCUUUAAACUCUUUUGUAAGUUGUAUCUACCAAUACUCCCAAGUGUGGAAUUAUUUUUCGUUGUACUAUUAACUAAUGAAGAGGUUGUUCCCUGUGACAUUAAUUCUGAUGUUAUGCAUCAUGUAGAACUGAAGUAUUAUG